RNAcentral lists this ribosomal RNA (238 nucleotides) under uncultured bacterium. RNAcentral's name for it is "partial 16S ribosomal RNA". It matches the Rfam family "Bacterial small subunit ribosomal RNA", at positions 1267 to 1500 of the family's 1533-position model. The record is from RNAcentral.
ACGGAUCUCUUAAAGCUGUUCUCAGUUCGGACUGCAGUCUGCAACUCGACUGCACGAAGCUGGAAUCGCUAGUAAUCGCGGAUCAGCACGCCGCGGUGAAUACGUUCCCGGGCCUUGUACACACCGCCCGUCACACCAUGGAAGUCUGCAAUGCCCGAAGCCGGUGGCCUAACCACUUAUGUGGAAGGAGCCGUCUAAGGCAGGGCAGAUGACUGGGGUGAAGUCGUAACAAGGUAGC